ACACGAGUGGCGUAAUUAGUAAACGCGCUAGCCUCAGAAACUAGUGGAGAAAUCCGUGCAAGUGCAAGUCUUGUCUCGUGUACCA
Molecule: transfer RNA, 85 nt
Filed under: Bacilli bacterium
Lineage: Bacteria; Bacillati; Bacillota; Bacilli
Description: tRNA-Leu
Rfam family: tRNA
About the family: Transfer RNA (tRNA) molecules are approximately 80 nucleotides in length. Their secondary structure includes four short double-helical elements and three loops (D, anti-codon, and T loops).
Source: RNAcentral